This 318-nucleotide ribosomal RNA is filed under the name uncultured bacterium. RNAcentral's name for it is "bacterial SSU rRNA". It matches the Rfam family "Bacterial small subunit ribosomal RNA", at positions 29 to 348 of the family's 1533-position model. The record is from RNAcentral.
AUUGAACGCUGGCGGCAUGCCUUACACAUGCAAGUCGAACGGCGAGCACGGGGGCAACCCUGGUGGCGAGUGGCGAACGGGUGAGUAACGCAUCGGAACGUGCCCAAUAGUGGGGGAUAGCCUGGCGAAAGCCGGAUUAAUACCGCAUACGCACUAUGGUGGAAAGCGGGGGACCGAAAGGCCUCGCGCUAUUGGAGCGGCCGAUGUCGGAUUAGCUAGUUGGUGGGGUAAAGCUCACCAAGGCGACGAUCCGUAGCUGGUCUGAGAGGACGACCAGCCACACUGGGACUGAGACACGGCCCAGAUUCCUACGGGAGG